Molecule: long non-coding RNA, 383 nt
Organism: Colias croceus (clouded yellow)
Lineage: Eukaryota; Metazoa; Arthropoda; Insecta; Lepidoptera; Pieridae
Exons: 3
Source: RefSeq, a predicted model, not a curated record
GCAGUUUCGCCCGCGUAUUUAAACGAAAACCUUUGCAUCGAAGCGAUUUUAUAUUAUGAUUUUUGUAUCUGGAGAGAAGUAGAAGCCGGGAGUGUUAAUAUAGGCUACUCUUAGCUGCGGUAAAGAGUGAAUUUUCCUAUGACCACGCGGGUGAAGCCGCGGGCGCAGAGCUAGACGCUAGUGAAGUAUGUAUGGACUAUGGAGUUACUAAGACAAAAAUGUACUGAGCGGAAAAACAGACAUAUGUAAAGGACGUGGAAAGUGAUGAUAUUAAUAUUAACAAUUUUAAUAUUAUUAUAUGUAGGUAUAAUAUAUAUUUUUAAUUACCUGGUGAAUAACUCGUUAUGAUGGGUGAAUAAUAAGUGUAGAAAAAAUUGUUUUAA